CCUACGGGCGGCAGCAGUGGGGGAUAUUGCACAAUGGGGGGAACCCUGAUGCAGCGACGCCGCGUGGGUGAAGAAGCGCCUCGGCGCGUAAAGCCCUGUCAGCAGGGAAGAAAAUGACGGUACCUGACGAAGAAGCCCCGGCUAACUACGUGCCAGCAGCCGCGGUAAUACGUAGGGGGCAAGCGUUAUCCGGAUUUACUGGGUGUAAAGGGGGCGCAGACGGCGAGGCAAGUCAGGAGGGAAAGCCCGGGGCCCAACCCCGGGACUGCUCUUGGAACUGCGUGGCUGGAGUGCAGGAGGGGCAGGCGGAAUUCCUGGUGUAGCGGUGAAAUGCGUAGAUAUCAGGAGGAACACCGGUGGCGAAGGCGGCCUGCUGGACUGCAACUGACGUUGAGGCCCGAAAGCGUGGGGAGCAAACAGGAUUAGAUACCCGGGUAGUC
Molecule: ribosomal RNA, 440 nt
Filed under: uncultured bacterium
Lineage: Bacteria
Description: partial 16S ribosomal RNA
Rfam family: Bacterial small subunit ribosomal RNA
Source: RNAcentral